AUGGCUGGUGUGGACACUUUGAGAUGUGGGUACAUAUGGAGAAUUGGAUAUGGAGAAAAGGUGAAUAUAUGGGAGGACUCGUGGAUCCCUCGAUCACCAACAAAAAAAGUCUUGACCAUCCAAGGAUCUUCAGUACGGGAUGAGAAGUGGAACUUGAUUUGGAAUCUAGAAUGGCCAACCAAGGCUAAAGUUCCUAUAGAAGCUUGGCAGAAGCCGCCGCCGGGAUACAUGAAAUUAAACAUAGACACUGGAUUUGACCAAGAUUUACUUGAAGGAUUUGUGGGGGCAGUUAUUCAUGGUCACAACGAGAAAUUGAUAGUGGCAGCUAAUGAAAGAAUAUACAUAUGCUAUGAUUCUUUCAUAGCAGAAGCUUUGGCAGUUAGGUUUGGGCUAAACCUUGGCAGAACUGUGGGUUGUAGCAAGGUCGUGAUCAACUCGGACAGUCUGGAGAUAAUAGAAGCUCUGAGAGAUGGCAAUUCUUCUUCAGUGACAAGCGCAAUUAUUGAUGAUUGCUAUUUCAUGUCCUUGUAUUUUAAUCAUGCAUCUUAUGAUCAUUGUAAUAGAGAGUGUAAUAAAGUAGCACAUGAACUUUCUAGGCUGGUUAAUUUUUCUCCUCCUUCUGUAUGGAUGGAUUUUGCACCUGCGGAGGUGCUUCCAUUACUUGUAAAUGAUGUCAUGUUUUUGCUAGAGGAAUAA
This 696-nucleotide ribosomal RNA is filed under the name Triticum aestivum (bread wheat). RNAcentral's name for it is "partial small subunit ribosomal RNA". The record is from RNAcentral. Lineage: Eukaryota; Viridiplantae; Streptophyta; Magnoliopsida; Poales; Poaceae.